UGCAUGACAUAUCAGCAUCUAGUCUAUUAAGUAGAUUUUUUUUUUUUUUUUGAUUCGGCGAACUGAAUUGACUCGUCGAAUCUGUGGUGCUCGCUGAGCAUAACACUAAUUUUAUAAAAUUAGACGUAAAAAUUAUUUUAAUCAAUUUAAUGUAUAAAUAAAAAAUUAUAAUAAAUUAAAAAUUGUGAAUUAAAAUGUUAUAGGUUUCAUAAUUUGAGAAGUAAAAGU
RNAcentral lists this long non-coding RNA (228 nucleotides) under Ananas comosus (pineapple). Its description in RNAcentral is "long non-coding RNA (ACOM_LNC012904)". Lineage: Eukaryota; Viridiplantae; Streptophyta; Magnoliopsida; Poales; Bromeliaceae. The record is from RNAcentral.